CAGCAGCCGCGGUAAUACGUAGGGUGCGAGCGUUAAUCGGAAUUACUGGGCGUAAAGCGAGCGCAGACGGUUACUUAAGCAGGAUGUGAAAUCCCCGGGCUCAACCUGGGAACUGCGUUCUGAACUGGGUGACUAGAGUGUGUCAGAGGGAGGUAGAAUUCCACGUGUAGCAGUGAAAUGCGUAGAGAUGUGGAGGAAUACCGAUGGCGAAGGCAGCCUCCUGGGACAACACUGACGUUCAUGCUCGAAAGCGUGGGUAGCAAACAGGAUUAGAUACCCCAGUAGUCCCUGUCUCUUAUAC
RNAcentral lists this ribosomal RNA (301 nucleotides) under uncultured bacterium. RNAcentral's name for it is "partial 16S ribosomal RNA". It matches the Rfam family "Bacterial small subunit ribosomal RNA", at positions 509 to 807 of the family's 1533-position model. The record is from RNAcentral.